ACCACACUUACCGUUUGUGUUACAUACUUGCUCAGGUAAAUACAUUUUGACUUAUUUUCCCUAUACGGGCUUGGGGUACGGUAUUUAAAAUACCGCUUGAUCGGGCGCACAAGUCCUGCGCCUUAUGGGUGUACUAUACGAAAAUAGGCUGGCUGUUUUCCUAAGAGCGUCCACUAUAGUCUCGCAAGCUCGGACGACAAAUAUCUGUUGAACUGUUUAUUCUCAUUUUUAUUUGAUCCGCCUGUGGAUCCGU
This 253-nucleotide long non-coding RNA is filed under the name Helianthus annuus (common sunflower). RNAcentral describes it as "hypothetical non coding rna". The record is from RNAcentral. Lineage: Eukaryota; Viridiplantae; Streptophyta; Magnoliopsida; Asterales; Asteraceae.